GACGAACGCUGGCGGCGUGCUUAACACAUGCAAGUCGAACGGUAAGGCCCUUCGGGGUACACGAGUGGCGAACGGGUGAGUAACACGUGGGUGAUCUGCCCUGCACUUCGGGAUAAGCCUAGGAAACUGGGUCUAAUACCGGAUAGGACCACUGCCUGCAUGGGUGGUGGUGGAAAGCUUUUGCGGGGUGGGAUGGGCCCGCGGCCUAUCAGCUUGUUGGUGGGGUGAUGGCCUACCAAGGCGACGACGGGUAGCCGGCCUGAGAGGGUGACCGGCCAACCUGGGACUGAGAGCCGGCCCAGACUCCUACGGGAGGCAGCAGUGGGGAAUAUUGCACAAUGGGCGCAAGCCUGAUGCAGCGACGCCGCGUGAGGGAUGACGGCCUUCGGGUUGUAAACCUCUUUCAGCACCGACGAAGCGCAAGUGACGGUAGGUGCAGAAGAAGGACCGGCCAACUACGUGCCAGCCGCCGCAGUAA
RNAcentral lists this ribosomal RNA (478 nucleotides) under uncultured bacterium. RNAcentral describes it as "partial 16S ribosomal RNA". It matches the Rfam family "Bacterial small subunit ribosomal RNA", at positions 28 to 523 of the family's 1533-position model. The record is from RNAcentral.